This 440-nucleotide ribosomal RNA is filed under the name uncultured bacterium. Its description in RNAcentral is "partial 16S ribosomal RNA". It matches the Rfam family "Bacterial small subunit ribosomal RNA", at positions 338 to 795 of the family's 1533-position model. The record is from RNAcentral.
ACUACGGGUGGCAGCAGUGGGGGAUAUUGCACAAUGGGGGGAACCCUGAUGCAGCGACGCCGCGUGGGUGAAGAAGCGCCUCGGCGCGUAAAGCCCUGUCAGCAGGGAAGAAAAUGACGGUACCUGAAGAAGAAGCCCCGGCUAACUACGUGCCAGCAGCCGCGGUAAUACGUAGGGGGCAAGCGAUAUCCGGCUUUCCUGGGUGUAAAGGGGGCGCAGACGGCGAUGCAAGCCAGGAGUGAAAGCCCGGGGCCCAACCCCGAGACUGCUCUUGGAACUGCGUGGCUGGAGUGCAGGAGGGGCAGGCGGAAUUCCUGGUGUAGCCGUGAAAUGCGUAGAUAUCAGGAGGAACACCGGUGGCGAAGGCGGCCUGCUGGACUGCAACUGACGUUGAGGCCCGAAAGCGUGGGGAGCAAACAGGAUUAGAUACCCUUGUAGUC